UGCCAGACUCCUACGGGAGGCAGCAGUGGGGAAUAUUGCACAAUGGGGGAAACCCUGAUGCAGCGACGCCGCGUGAGUGAAGAAGUAUUUCGGUAUGUAAAGCUCUAUCAGCAGGGAAGAAGAUGACGGUACCUGACUAAGAAGCCCCGGCUAACUACGUGCCAGCAGCCGCGGUAAUACGUAGGGGGCAAGCGUUAUCCGGAUUUACUGGGUGUAAAGGGAGCGUAGACGGCGAUGCAAGCCAGAUGUGAAAGCCCGGGGCUCAACCCCGGGACUGCAUUUGGAACUGUGUGGCUGGAGUGUCGGAGAGGCAGGCGGAAUUCCUAGUGUAGCGGUGAAAUGCGUAGAUAUUAGGAGGAACACCAGUGGCGAAGGCGGCCUGCUGGACGAUGACUGACGUUGAGGCUCGAAAGCGUGGGGAGCAAACAGGAUUAGAUACCCGCGUACA
RNAcentral lists this ribosomal RNA (448 nucleotides) under uncultured bacterium. Its description in RNAcentral is "bacterial SSU rRNA". It matches the Rfam family "Bacterial small subunit ribosomal RNA", at positions 329 to 797 of the family's 1533-position model. The record is from RNAcentral.